This 291-nucleotide ribosomal RNA is filed under the name Triticum aestivum (bread wheat). Its description in RNAcentral is "partial small subunit ribosomal RNA". The record is from RNAcentral. Lineage: Eukaryota; Viridiplantae; Streptophyta; Magnoliopsida; Poales; Poaceae.
AUGAAAAUCAUAAGCUGGAACUGCCGGGGGCUCGGGAACGGCCCGGCAGUUCGUAGCCUUCUCGAUCUGGGAAGGAGGGAGGAUCCCGACAUACUGUUCCUAGCGGAGACAAAGUUGACGGUGAAGGAGUUGGAAAGAUUUCGGUGGAUUCUAGGGUUAACGCAAAUGAGUGCUUGGAAUCCGGUUGGAAGAAGCCGGGGGCUGGCACUGUUUUGGAGGAGGGGAGUGGAUGUUUCUUUGCAAUCGUAUGGCAGGAGGCACCUGGAUGUGGAUGUGAAGGAGGAGGGUGGA